AUGGUCGAUCCUAAUGCUAAUAUUCUUCCACUUGACAAAGCUUUCGAGAUGUUCUCGCGUGAGGAGGCUAAAUUGAUCAAGCUUGAUGCACCUAAAUAUGAAGAUCUAUUAGACAGGGGCACAAUCUCGGAAAUCUAUGAUGACAUUGUUGCUUUCCGUGAAUACGUGGACAAAGUGCUGUUGAAAUUGCGCCACUUGCUUAAGAAGGCUGAAGCAGCACUGGAAACCGAAGAUGUGAUGGAGAAAGCUGCAACAAAUGGCGUUGACUCCAUGCAGCAAGUUGACCAUACAUGCUUAGCAGUAGACCUGGAAGUACCGAACCAACAAUGUCAUAUCACAGUUCAUGGUUGA
RNAcentral lists this ribosomal RNA (351 nucleotides) under Triticum aestivum (bread wheat). RNAcentral's name for it is "partial small subunit ribosomal RNA". The record is from RNAcentral. Lineage: Eukaryota; Viridiplantae; Streptophyta; Magnoliopsida; Poales; Poaceae.